CUAACGAGGAUUUCCCUAGUAACGGCGAGUGAAAAGGAAAAAGCCCAACGCUGAAUCCAAUAGACAUUAUAUGGCUAUAUGGAAAUGUAGCGUAUAGGUAUAACUAUCCGUAACAUAUUUUUACACCCAAAGUCCCCUUGAGCGGGGCUACAGUCCAUAGAAGGUGCUAGACCUGUACGGGUGAAAAAAGUUACGGUAGGUUAUUCCUUGGAGUCGGGUUGUUUGAGAUUGCAGCCCAAAGAGGGUGGUAAACCUCAUCUAAGGCUAAAUACGACCAUGAGACCGAUAGCAAACAAGUACCGUGAGGGAAAGUUGCAAAGAACUUUGAAGAGAGAGUUCAAGAGGGCGUGAAACCGCUGAGAUGGAAACGGAUAGAGUUAACAAAACUUAUCGGUAUUCAACCAAUCAAUUUAGCAAUCAUAAUUCAUUUCAUUAUUCAUUAAUAAUUUUUUUUUUUUUAUUAAUGAAUAAAAUGAUAUUAAUGCUAAAUUAGCAGUAUAUGCAUAGAUUGGUGUAUUUACCGAUGGUAUGCAUCGAGAACUUCAUUUUAGCAUAUUAAUACAAGUUAAUUUAGUGGACCAAUUAUUUCAAUUGAUAAUUGGAAUCCUAAAUUAUGUUGAAAUAUGUCUUARAUGAAGUUUUUUUUUUUUUUUCCCAUAUAUGUAACUUUCACUUGAAAUAAUAGUGACAUGUAUCGAUUAUAAUUUUGCUUAUUAUUAUUUUACAUGUGGUCGCAUGCGCCUUUAUCGGUAAAAAUAAUUGGUAAUAUUAUAAUAUUGUAUGCAAUAAAGUUACAUCUCGAUGUGAACGUUAAUCACCUAUCUGACCCGUCUUGAAACACGGACCAAGGAGU
Molecule: ribosomal RNA, 853 nt
Filed under: Brugia malayi
Lineage: Eukaryota; Metazoa; Nematoda; Chromadorea; Rhabditida; Onchocercidae
Description: partial 28S ribosomal RNA
Rfam family: Eukaryotic large subunit ribosomal RNA
Source: RNAcentral